This 264-nucleotide ribosomal RNA is filed under the name uncultured Sneathia sp. RNAcentral describes it as "partial 16S ribosomal RNA". It matches the Rfam family "Bacterial small subunit ribosomal RNA", at positions 96 to 356 of the family's 1533-position model. Lineage: Bacteria; Fusobacteriati; Fusobacteriota; Fusobacteriia; Fusobacteriales; Leptotrichiaceae. The record is from RNAcentral.
CGGCGGACGGGUGAGUAACGUGUAAAGAACUUACCAUAUAGACUGGGAUAGCAGAGGGAAACUUCUGAUAAUACUGGAUAAGUUAGAAGUAGCAUUACUAAGUAAUGAAAGGUAGCGAUACGCUAUAUGAGAGCUUUGCAUCCUAUUAGCUAGUUGGUGGGGUAAAAGCCUACCAAGGCGAUGAUAGGUAGCCGGCCCUGAGAGGGUGGACGGCCACAAGGGGACUGAGAUACGGGCCCUUACUCCUACGGGAGGGCAGCAGCG